AAAUAUAUUAAGGGUGCAGAUCAAUUCUCAAACCUUCUCUGCUCUCUCCCACCUACCCACGUCUCCUUCCCCAUUCCAUCUUUAUCUCUUCUCUGUUGCAGAGAUGCUACCUCUCUCCUUCUCUCUCACCAAGCCGAUUUUGUUGUAUAGACCUCCAUAUAUAGAUAAGCACUGAGAACAACAAUAUACAGAAUCUUUUGGGAUUGAAACAGUUAAUAUGUACAUACAUAUAUUAAACCCUCCCACUCGCUGCCUCUCCCUCUACCCUCCCACUCGAUGCCUCUUCCCCUCUCCCUCCUUUCGCAGAGACGCUACAUCUCUCCUUUUCUCUCACCCGAUCUUUGCCUUUCCCCCUCUCCCCCCACCCUCCCGCUCGUUGCCUCUCCCCCUCCACCCGAUCUCUGCCUCUCCCCACAACCCUCCCACUCGCUGCCCCGCAACCCUCCUACUCGCAACCCUCCCAGCCAGCCGCCGCCGCCGUAUUUUCUUUCUCUCUCUGCUUCGAACCCCGAUUGGAGCUCUCGGGGGUUCUUCUCAUAAUUCAGCUAAAGCAAAGAUCUAAUAGCCUUUUGAAAGCUCGAUUCUCAUAUCAGAGCACCAUUCCUAGAAGUUUUAAAAAUGGUUAGUUUUCGCAAUUUUGAUCUGUUGAUUUCAUAGUAUCAUAAUUACCUGCUUCACUUUUGUCUUUUUCAUUAAAGUGAUGAAACUUGCUCCUUAUUACUUCACCAGCAUCAGCAUGUGUAGGUUAGUUCGAAGGCGUGUAUUGAAUGAUAAAUAUUAGUGAUAGGUUACAAAAAGCCAUCAAAAUACCAUCUUUGUGCAUGUGUUUGAGAUGUUAAGGUAGUGUUUGGUUCACUAAAAUGAAGAUAGAACGGAAUAACGAUCAUUCCAUCAUAAUGUUAAUUCUCACAUUUGGUUGGUUGAAUUUAGAUUAUUUUAAUCUACGUUUUUGUUUUUGUUUUUUUUUUAUUUUAUCUUCUUUGGUGACGUGAAUGUUCAAAUUUAAAUUGCUUCUGGGUCUUCAAUUUUUCUUCCCUGUUUUUCAAUGGGGACCCAAGUAUAGUCUAAAUCUUCUAAGGUCUAAUGUCAUCUCUGGUCUCACCAUUGCAAGCCUUGCAAUCCCACAGGCAUGUUUCUGUUUUCAUUUUCUGUUUUUGUUUUCAGAAAACAGGUAAAAAGGUUGGUGUUUUGUUUGGUGAACUGUUUUUGAUUUAAUUAAAUUUUUGUAAUGAAAUAGUGUUGGGAUUAAAAAAUAUUUAACUAGCUUCCUUAUAUUUCAUAAUAUAUUUCAUGAAAUAGUGCUGCAUCAUAAUAUAUCUCCCUUUCACUCUAGCCACAUUUCGAUUGUUUGCUAUCCGAAGGAUAGAAAUUGUAAUACUAGAGUUUGUAUCCUUCCUAUUGUAAUUUUUCACAGAAUGAUGCAAUGUAAAUUAGAGCGCUGUUUACAACACAAAAUCAUUACCAUUGCUAUACAUUUAUUUGUUAUGAUGAGAAGAGUUAAUUUUCUCAGGGUUUUGAGUUGUGUAUAGUAUUCUUGGUUUUGGUGUUGUGGUUAAUUUCAAAUGUUAAUUUGGGAUAACAAUGUGAUACAAGGAAAUGCGGUUAGUUUCAGAUUUUAUUAUCAAAAAACAUUUUGGGAACAUGGUUUUGGUGUUGUGGUUAUCACAUCUCAACUGUUGUUGUGAAGACGAGUGUCUUCCUUUUCCAUGAGCUUGCUGUUGCUGCUACUAUCAAAAUGGAUUGGGGUGACAGUUGUGUUUGACUCUUUCCAACUGAUCUAUGCUUUUUAUUUUUUAAUUUUUUUUAUUUAUAAAUAUGUUUGUGACUGUAAUGAUUGUAUUGUGUUGGCAGUCAGUUGAUUGUUCUUUUCCAAAUGAACAAUAUUAUAGAGGAAUCUACAUCUCGGGAUUAAAUUUAAAUAGUGUUGGGAUUAAAUUCAAACAGUGUUGGGAUUAAAUUUAAAUUUAAAUAGUGUUGGGAUUAAAUCUAAAUUUAAAUAGUGUUGGGAAUAAAUUUAAAUUUAAAUAGUGUUGGGAUUAAAUUUAAUAGUGUUGGCAUUAAAUUUAAAUUUAAUCCAUGUUGGGAUUAAAUUUAUAAUAAAUUUAAAUAGUGUUGGGAUUAAAUUUAAAUAGUGUUGGGAUUACUUUGCAUAAUCAUUAUGAAUUUAAACUGACACAUUUUUUUUUCUUUUCUUUUCUAUUUUGCCCGGUUGGUUUUGGGGAAUAAUUGUGGUUUCUCAGUUUAAUUUUUCUAGGUUUUCUUUCUCAAAACCUCCAAAAAGAGAAAAGAAAUCGGAGGAAAUGGUGGGGCAAAAAAAGGCAAAAGGGAUGUAAGGGAAAGGAAAGAAGAAUUGAACUUAUACUGUCUGAUUUAAUUUUUUUCCUCUAUUUUUUUUUUUUAAAAAUGUUGUUGGGAUUUUAGGGUAAGUUCAAGGGAGAAGAAGAAGAGUGUACUCUUGAUGGAAGUGUUGAUUUGCAAGGCCAACCGGCAAUCCGAGAAAGAACUGGCAAAUGGGUUGCUGGAAAUAUCAUCCUCUGUAAGCCCUAUAUUACCAAUUUUAUUUUGUUUUUAUUUCUUUUUAUUUAAUUUUAUUUAAAGAAAGUCUUGAUAUCUUAGUCUACUUAUCUUCAUAAAUUAAUUGUUUGAGAAUAUAGGGUACUCUGUUUAUCUAUGCAUAUAUAUAUAUAUAUAUAUAUUCACACUGACAUACCUGCUCUCUAGAUUUUCAUUUUUCAUUCUUCAUUUUCAGUUUUGAGCACUUUUCAUGUUUUUUAUUAGAAUCUUUAACCAGUCUAUUUCAUAUGGGAAUCUUCCUCCUCCUUCUUAUUUAUUUAUUUAUUUAUUUUUUCUCCAGGAAUCUUACUUAGUACAUUCUACACAUAUGAUCAAUUGUAUGUGGGAUCCUAUAAUUUGCAUCUUUUGUGUUCCAAAACUGGAGAAUUGUUUUCCUGGUUUUUUGCUUAUUGUUAGAUGGAUUAGGAUUGUUUGUCUUUCAGGAGUGGCUGACAGUUUAACAACAGCUUGCAUGAAGAUGUGAAUCAGUGACCUUCCUAUAAAAUUAGCUUCAAGGACUGUCCAUGUUUGGUUAUUACUGGUGCAUAGUAUUUGUGACAUUUUUGUUUAAAAAUCAUGUAGGAAUGCACUUUCUUUUUAUUAAAAAUUCCCAUUUUAGGAUGGAGAAAAAGAUUGAGGAACAGUGGAAUGUAUCUCAUAAUUUACAUAUUAAUCAACCAUAUCCGUAGUUCCUCUGUGAUAA
Molecule: non-coding RNA, 3256 nt
Organism: Camellia sinensis
Lineage: Eukaryota; Viridiplantae; Streptophyta; Magnoliopsida; Ericales; Theaceae
Source: RefSeq, a predicted model, not a curated record